RNAcentral lists this long non-coding RNA (813 nucleotides) under Oryza sativa Indica Group (long-grained rice). RNAcentral describes it as "lncRNA OsMH63_02G018110". The record is from RNAcentral. Lineage: Eukaryota; Viridiplantae; Streptophyta; Magnoliopsida; Poales; Poaceae.
AUGCGGAGGUCCAAAAAGCGUCAACACGAGUCAACAACCGGUCCAUCCCAGAGGUCGGUCGAUGCCCGACAGCUAUCCCUGGGCAUCGAUGACUACGGGAUGCAUGAUCGCCACAUGGAUGGUCUGGAGGGCGACGACGAUGAUCAGCCAUCUCCUAGCGAGGCCAACUUCUCCUUCGACACCAACGCCAUGACGUUGCCCACACCAAAUUCCAAUAACCAGCCAUCUGCCAGAAGAGCGGAGUGUUGGCAGCACUUCGAAGUAUUCACCGAGAUGGUUGACGUGGUCAAAGCGAGGUUCCAGGACUACUGUAAAGCGAAGAAGAAACCUGGACGGAUGUUUGGCAUUGAUGUCAAACAUAGGUGGAACAAAACAUACCUAUUGCUGCGACAGUUAAAAGGUGCCCCUCUCUCUGUGCUGGUGGUGAAGUUGGAGGUGGUUGCUGCAGUCGAAAGGUUCAUCCCGCGAAGCCUGGAGCUCCUCACCGGUUACAUGGUUGACACCGAUGCCCAUUUGCCCUGCUUCCAGCUCUCAGUUCUUCCCCAGGCCUGCCUGCCUCCUUUCCUCCUUUCUGCUUCCAGAUCCGGCCGUGGAGUCUCUCAGUGGUUGAGGAGUUUGUUUGUCCGUGGGUUGGAAACCGCCAAGGUUGCCAUGAACUCAAUAGGUGAUGCAGUGGGGCUUGAUUAUUCUGAAGCUUUUCAACAUGUCAAUGAUGAGCUCUAUAGGGUUUUCCGUCUAUACCGAACCAAGCUUGGUGGUACUCCCCGAGUUCCUGAGCAGACCUCACAAAAGAAAGCAAGCAAGUCAAGUGCA